CCUACGGGAGGCAGCAGUGGGGAAUAUUGCACAAUGGGGGAAACCCUGAUGCAGCAACGCCGCGUGAAGGAAGACGGUUUUCGGAUUGUAAACUUCUGUUCUUAGUGAAGAAUAAUGACGGUAGCUAAGGAGCAAGCCACGGCUAACUACGUGCCAGCAGCAGCGGUAAUCCGUAGGGGGCAAGCGUUGUCCGGAAUUACUGGGUGAAAAUGAAGCGAAGGCGGGAAGCCAAGUCAGCUGUGAAAACCACGGGCUUAACAUGUAGACUGCAGUUGAAACUGGUUUUCUUGAGUGAAGUAGAGGUUGGCGGAAUUCCGAGUGUAGCGGUGAAAUGCGUAGAUAUUCGGAGGAACACCGGUGGCGAAGGCGGCCAACUGGGCUUUAACUGACGUUGAGGCGCGAAAGCGUGGGGAGCAAACAGGAUUAGAUACCCUAGUAGUC
This 441-nucleotide ribosomal RNA is filed under the name uncultured bacterium. RNAcentral's name for it is "partial 16S ribosomal RNA". It matches the Rfam family "Bacterial small subunit ribosomal RNA", at positions 338 to 795 of the family's 1533-position model. The record is from RNAcentral.